UACGUAGGUGGCAAGCGUUGUCCGGCUUUAUUGGGUUUAAAGGGUGCGUAGGCGGCUUUGUAAGUCAGUGGUGAAAUAUGGCAGCUCAACUGUCAAGGUGCCAUUGAUACUGCGGAGCUUGAGUACAGAUGAGGUAGGCGGAAUUGACGGUGUAGCGGUGAAAUGCUUAGAUAUCGUCAAGAACACCUAUAGCGAAGGCAGCUUACUAGGCUGUAACUGACGCUGAGGCACGAAAGUGUGGGGAUCAAACAGG
RNAcentral lists this ribosomal RNA (253 nucleotides) under uncultured bacterium. Its description in RNAcentral is "partial 16S ribosomal RNA". It matches the Rfam family "Bacterial small subunit ribosomal RNA", at positions 524 to 776 of the family's 1533-position model. The record is from RNAcentral.